UACGAGAGACCGUACCCCAAACCGACACAGGUGGUCAGGUAGAGAAUACCAAGGCGCUUGAGAGAACUCUGGUGAAGGAACUAGGCAAAAUAGCACCGUAACUUCGGGAGAAGGUGCGCUGCUGACGGUGAAGGCCUUGCGCCGUAAGCUGUUGGCAGCCGAAGUAACCAGGCCGCUGCGACUGUUUAUUAAAAACACAGCACUCUGCAAACACGAAAGUGGACGUAUAGGGUGUGACGCCUGCCCGGUGCCGGAAGGUUAAUUGAUGGGGUCAGCCGCAAGGCGAAGCUCUUGAUCGAAGCCCCGGUAAACGGCGGCCGUAACGAUAACGGUCCUAAGGUAGCGAAAUUCCUUGUCGGGUAAGUUCCGACCUGCACGAAUGGCGUAACGAUGGCGGCGCUGUCUCCACCAGAGACUCAGUGAAAUCGAAAUCGCGGUGAAGAUGCCGUGUACCCGUGGCUAGACGGAAAGACCCCGUGAACCUUUACUGUAGCUUCACACUGGACUUUGACAUGAUCUGUGUAGGAUAGCUGGGAGGCUUUGAAGUGGUGACGCCAGUUGCCAUGGAGCCGUCCUUGAAAUACCAGCCUGGUCCUGUCGGGGUUCUAACGUCGACCUGUUAUCCAGGUUACGGACAGUGUGUGGUGGGCAGUUUGACUGGGGCGGUCUCCUCCCAAAGAGUAACGGAGGAGCACGAAGGUGCGCUAAUCACGGUCGGAAAUCGUGAGGUUAGUGUAAAGGCACAAGCGCGCUUGACUGCGAGACAGACAAGUCGAGCAGGUACGAAAGUAGGUCUUAGUGAUCCGGUGGUUCUGUAUGGAAGGGCCAUCGCUCAACGGAUAAAAGGUACUCCGGGGAUAACAGGCUGAUACCGCCCAAGAGUUCAUAUCGACGGCGGUGUUUGGCACCUCGAUGUCGGCUCAUCACAUCCUGGGGCUGAAGCCGGUCCCAAGGGUAUGGCUGUUCGCCAUUUAAAGUGGUACGCGAGCUGGGUUUAGAACGUCGUGAGACAGUUCGGUCCCUAUCUGCCAUGGGCGUUGGAGAUUUGAGAAGAGUUGCUCCUAGUACGAGAGGACCGGAGUGAACGAACCUCUGGUGUACCGGUUGUCACGCCAGUGGCAUUGCCGGGUAGCUAAGUUCGGACGGGAUAACCGCUGAAAGCAUCUAAGCGGGAAGCCUCCUUCAAGAUGAGGUCUCCCUGGAGCUUUAAGCUCCCUAAAGUGCCGUCGAAGACUACGACGUUGAUAGGCGAGGUGUGGAAGCGUUGUGAGACGUUGAGCUGACUCGUACUAAUUGCCCGUGCGGCUUGACCG
RNAcentral lists this ribosomal RNA (1313 nucleotides) under metagenome. RNAcentral's name for it is "bacterial LSU rRNA". It matches the Rfam family "Bacterial large subunit ribosomal RNA", at positions 1633 to 2925 of the family's 2925-position model. The record is from RNAcentral.